GGCCUCGUAGCUCAGUUGGCAGAGCAUUGGAUUAGUAUCCCAAAUGUCGCGGGUUCGAUUCCCACCGUGGUCA
This 73-nucleotide transfer RNA is filed under the name Paramuricea clavata. It matches the Rfam family "tRNA". Rfam says of the family: Transfer RNA (tRNA) molecules are approximately 80 nucleotides in length. Their secondary structure includes four short double-helical elements and three loops (D, anti-codon, and T loops). The record is from Rfam by way of RNAcentral. Lineage: Eukaryota; Metazoa; Cnidaria; Anthozoa; Malacalcyonacea; Plexauridae.